Molecule: unclassified non-coding RNA, 392 nt
Filed under: uncultured fungus
Lineage: Eukaryota; Fungi
Description: partial contains 5.8S ribosomal RNA, internal transcribed spacer 2, and large subunit ribosomal RNA
Source: RNAcentral
AACGCACCUUGCGCUCCCGGCAGAUCUAAUCUGGGGAGCAUGCCUGUUUGAGGGCCGCGAAUUGUUUCGAACGACAGCUUUUUUCUUUUGGAGAAGGUUGACGGAUCGGUAUUGAGGGUUUUUGCCAUUUAUCGUGGCUCCCUUGAAAUAGAUUAGCGUAUCCAUUUUAUAGGCAAGACGGACGAAAGCUCGAUUUUUGCUCUCUCUUCCCUGCCGGGUUUUGAUACUAUCAGGACUUCGGAGAGGUUGAGAUGGGUAGGAGCUCGACGCAACGGCUUGCUGUUUGGAGUGCUUCUGAAACCCGCCCAUGCCGAGUUUUCUUUUAGAAAGCUAGGAAGGAAUUUAUAAUAAUUCAUCGGCCUCAGAUUGGUAGGACUACCCGCUGAACUUAA